CUUGCCAAAUUAUAAGAGGUCCAGCCUGCCCAGUGACUCUGUUCAACGGCCGCGGUAUCCUAACCGUGCGAAGGUAGCGUAAUCACUUGUUCUUUAAAUGAGGACUAGUAUGAAUGGCCCCACGAGGGCUGCACUGUCUCCUUUUUCUAAUCAAUGAAACUAAUCUCCCCGUGAAGAAGCGGGGAUAACCAUAUAAGACGAGAAGACCCUAUGGAGCUUAAAACAACUGAAACAUUUGCUUUUACCUUAACUGCCCCAGGGCUCUUUAUUUUACCUAAGCAUUUUUAUUUCUAGUUUUAGGUUGGGGUGACCACGGAGCAAAACUAAACCUCCACGAAGAAAUGAAUUCUUUUUAAGCCACAAACUACUUUUUUAAGCAUCAACAAAUUGACCUUCAUUGACCCAAUAUAUUGAUCAACGAAC
This 423-nucleotide ribosomal RNA is filed under the name Ameerega hahneli group sp. ABGD cluster 11. RNAcentral's name for it is "partial large subunit ribosomal RNA". It matches the Rfam family "Bacterial large subunit ribosomal RNA", at positions 1834 to 2457 of the family's 2925-position model. Lineage: Eukaryota; Metazoa; Chordata; Amphibia; Anura; Dendrobatidae. The record is from RNAcentral.